This 272-nucleotide ribosomal RNA is filed under the name uncultured bacterium. Its description in RNAcentral is "partial 16S ribosomal RNA". It matches the Rfam family "Bacterial small subunit ribosomal RNA", at positions 335 to 599 of the family's 1533-position model. The record is from RNAcentral.
CUGCCUACGGGGGGCAGCAGUAGGGACUCUUCCACAAUGGACGAAAGUCUGAUGGAGCAACGCCGCGUGAGUGAAGAAGGGUUUCGGCUCGUAAAGCUCUGUUGGUAGUGAAGAAAGAUAGAGGUAGUAACUGGCCUUUAUUUGACGGUAAUUACUUAGAAAGUCACGGCUAACUACGUGCCAGCAGCCGCGGUAAUACGUAGGUGGCAAGCGUUGUCCGGAUUUAUUGGGCGUAAAGCGAGUGCAGGCGGUUUCAUAAAGAUUGUGUUAAA